This is a long non-coding RNA of Pangasianodon hypophthalmus (striped catfish), 673 nucleotides long. RefSeq lists it as uncharacterized. The record is from RefSeq and is a predicted model, not a curated record. The transcript is spliced from 4 exons. NCBI's taxonomy places the organism in Eukaryota, Metazoa, Chordata, Actinopteri, Siluriformes, Pangasiidae.
AAAGGAAACUCUGAGUCUCAUCCAACACAUCUCUGCAAGAGUCUCAUCCAAUCCAUCUUUGAGAGAGUCCAACACAUCUUUGCAAGAGUCUCCAUCCACAUCUGAAGGGAGUCUCAUCAACCAAGAGCUUUAGAAGUUCAUCACAAGGAGAUCACGCUUGCUCCGAGACUCCGCAUCCAGACUGGCUCUUUCAAAGCCUCCAACUCUCGCCUUCGCACCGCUGUGAACCAUUCGUGAAAGCUUUGCAACCCGCCUACGAGACUCCGCCGGGUUCGCGCCUCACUCUGUUUAUCUUCUCCAUUGGUCUUUCGAGACGCUACAUAAGGCCAACCAGACCAAUAAGGCCAAUCAUCAUGGCCGGAAACUCCUUCCAAACGACAACACAACGAGGGAAUCCCUGGCAACACAAACAGGGUCACAGGGAGUCUGGAGCCUCUCCCAGGGGACUUUGGACACAAGAUCGCGGAGAAUACACACGUAACUGCUGACGAUGAUUCCAUACGGGAGCAGGAACCCCACCACUGUCUCCAUGCUCAGAGCAGGGAUGGCAAGCGUAAAGACGAGCACCCAGAGCAUGGCGAGGAUGCUCAGUAUGUUUCUCCUCCGCGUGAAGACGUAAGCACGGUCGCAGCACGGUGACCAGCCGGUGCACACUCAUGAGUGUGAUGAGCAU